Molecule: transfer RNA, 68 nt
Filed under: Marmota monax (woodchuck)
Lineage: Eukaryota; Metazoa; Chordata; Mammalia; Rodentia; Sciuridae
Description: tRNA.Val
Rfam family: tRNA (bases 6-63)
About the family: Transfer RNA (tRNA) molecules are approximately 80 nucleotides in length.
Source: RNAcentral
GGAUAUAGCUCAGUUGGUAGAGUGUUUGCCUCACACGCACAAGGCCCUGGGUUCAAUCCCCAGCACCA